This 73-nucleotide transfer RNA is filed under the name Daphnia galeata. It matches the Rfam family "tRNA". From Rfam's summary of the family: Transfer RNA (tRNA) molecules are approximately 80 nucleotides in length. Lineage: Eukaryota; Metazoa; Arthropoda; Branchiopoda; Diplostraca; Daphniidae. The record is from Rfam by way of RNAcentral.
GCUGAAAUAGCUCAGUAGGGAGAGCGUUAUAUUUAAAAUCUAAAGGUCCCUGGUUUGAUCCCCGGUUUUGGCA